Chenopodium quinoa (quinoa) is the source of this 776-nucleotide long non-coding RNA. RefSeq lists it as uncharacterized. The transcript is spliced from 3 exons. The record is from RefSeq and is a predicted model, not a curated record. NCBI's taxonomy places the organism in Eukaryota, Viridiplantae, Streptophyta, Magnoliopsida, Caryophyllales, Amaranthaceae.
GAUGAGGCAUGAGGGAUGUCCACCCAUGAAGAUUGAAAAACAAUGCUAGUAAGCAUUUCUUAUUUCCAAAAAUGGGUUGUGCAGCUUAUUUACUCAUGUUUUUAGGUUAUUGAUUUACCCAUAUUACGAGGGUUUAUAUCUUUGUAUUAAAGAAGGUGGACAGAUUUUUGUGGCAUGUGUUAAUUGGAUCAAGGAUGAUGAAGGGGUAGACAUAAGUGCUGCACAGGAUAGUAAUUUGAGUACUGGUCUUGUAUUGAUAAAAGUGUCUAAUUGGCGUACUUCUGGUGCUGGAUUAAAGGCACUAAAAACUUUAAAAUAUGAAAAGGCUGCUUUUGUUCAUGGAUGUUGUUUCAAGUGCUUGGGCAGAGGAAGAACCAGAAACAACUGCUUGGAAAUUAACGAGAGUGCUUUUAACCAUGGUAAUGCUAACAAUAUCACCUGCAUUGUGGUAAGGUUCCACCACUGGGCGUUAGAUUCGGAUGUAGUAGCCACUUGAGUUCCAUUAAGACCUAAGUGUGGAACCCGUUAAAUUGGUGAGAGUUUAAUUUCAGAAAAUUUAGAAUGAAUUGUCUCUACUUUCAUACGUAGAAAUUUAAAGUUCGGCAUUCUUAUUCUUUAUGUGCUAUGGUCAAUUUCUCAGUCAGCACCUUGUUACUAUUGUCACUUUAGACAAAGUAUUAAAGAUGUUUGUUGGCUAGCUGACAAAGUAUCAUACCAUAUGGUUAUUUGUAACUGGAUGUCCUUUUUUUAUUAAAUUAAAAGUUUUAUAAUGCUCU